Molecule: long non-coding RNA, 235 nt
Filed under: Hordeum vulgare
Lineage: Eukaryota; Viridiplantae; Streptophyta; Magnoliopsida; Poales; Poaceae
Description: long non-coding RNA (HVUL_LNC012896)
Source: RNAcentral
UUUAUAAAAGCGGACAUAUUUCAUAUAAACCGAACGACAUUCAUGCAAACGCGAUAGCUUUUCAUUAGAUUUUGAAUAUUUAGAACAAAACAACCGUUCUGACCUCACCCUAAACCUAUCGUACGACGACGUCCGGCAUUCAAAUCCUUGUCGUCCUUCAUCCGUCAUCUUCAUGAGCACCGGCGAUAAGACCGAUGAAAUAAAGCUGCGGUCUCCGGUGAGAAAGAGUAAAAAC